ACUGAUCGCCUUUGGUUUUUCUUUCGGCUGCAUCGACUGAUUGCGUCCUUCCGACAACGACACGUGCACGAGCACACACACACACGCACAGAGUACAUGCACACUUCCAUAUAGGCCCGAUUACUCGUUGCACGUCAGCAUUCGCCCCGCGUAUCAGCAUCGUCACCCAUUGGCAUUCACAUUCUUCACCGCUUUGUUUUUGUUAUGCCCCGCCCCCCCCCCCCGCUGGCCGGUGCCUCUGCUCCAAGGGAAGGCGUGCGCGCACGAGCAUACACACAGGAACAACAGCAUCCUUUUCGUUGUUGUUCAACGUGCUCAUUCUCUGCCAUACGACAUGAAAUGAUACUUCCCUCUACCGCCCACCGGCUUCCGCCUGCGUGAUGCGUCAGAAGGCGACGGCAAACGAUGCAGUGCCUCUCUGCCCGCAGCAUUUUUGCCACGAUGGCCUUGUCAUUGUCGUCGCCGUCACCGUUGGAGUCUGCAGUUGCUUCGCUUCUGGAUUAACAGCAAUCAUGGCUCGAUUCUAAUGAUUUUCAACUCUCGAGUAUGCCGCUUCCGAUUAUGCGCGUCCACGUGCGCCGACGAUGGAUCCAUCCCGCUACAGUACCGUGAUGCCCAUGAGUCGCUUCAUCACAUGUUGUGGUUGGCCCAUGCGGGACCUAUCCGCCCCGUUCUUGGGCAGCAAUACACAGGACAACUGCCUUCUUGCGUUUUCGUCCACUGCAAAGGGCGCCGACAUUCCUGCGGCCAUGUCCACCUGGACGGUUAGCGUACGGAACGUGCUUGGAAUGCUGGCGGUACGGUGCCGAGGGAUCCGAUCCUCUUGGUGUCGCGAUGGUGCGUCUUCUACACGGCGUAAUGCCGAAGGCACAGCGGUGCUCCGCUAUGUGGUUGGUGCACAGCCGAGGUCAAACCCGACAUAUGUUCACUAGGCGUUCAUAUGAGCCCGAGGAAGUGUGUCCUUUUAUGUAGGGCCGACUCUCGUGGCGCGUCCGCUGCAGACACUCCAGGAUGAGCGCUAAGCUCGCCUUUUCCGGUAACUGCAGCGCACCAUUUCCUCGGAUUUGAGCAGGGCAUUUUUUCAGCGUAACGCGCCUGACGCACGCCGUUGCGUGAGCUCGUUGCAGCCGCAGCCAGGAUGCCCACGUGGGCAGAGAACGGAGGUUUUCGCGCUGAAGUACGUACUCGACGGCGCAGCGCACACGACGAAGACCGAAGAGGCGGUCACCGUUGUUCAUCAUCUUCACAAGCGCACGCCGGCUCGUCAACAAUGAAAAUUAUGCUGGGGACGAGGGGGGGCUUCUGCCUUGUCUUGUCUCUGCUCAGCGCUCAGGAGUGUGGUCGUGCUUUGCGCUGUUUGCCGGCAGCGCAACGGCAGCGUUAAACGAGUCGCAGCAGCUCUGUGGAUCAGCUCCCCCCGUUUCCCCCUAAAAAAAAAACUACACUAGCGAUGUGGACUUGUGCCACGCUCAUUGAUGUCCAACGAGGGUGCGGAGAGAGCGUUUGACGGCCGCGUGGCACCGCUGAGAGCGGGGAUUGGCCGCAUGCACCUCUCUCUGUGAAGGCGCUGUGCCCAACUCCAGAGGUAUACCGCAGCGGUGAAACAGUGUUUUCACCUCUGGUUUCCAGCAAUCGCGCCCGAAGAGCGCAGUCGAUCGAGACGCCUAACUUCGAGUGCGCACCUCCCUGCGUACGAGUCUGUGCCGUCGUGGCUGCGCUAUGGGGCGGCUCAAACGGAUCUCGCUAUCGAGAAAAGCUCUUUAGCUCGCAAGGGACUGCACGCUCAGCUUCGCCUCAGGCAGGUACAGCCAGAGCGCAUGGCAGCGGUACGCGCGCACGUGCCUGCUGUCUUUUUUUUUUCGCAAGUGCAUCGCCGCUGCUGAUGUAUCCGGCGACUUUGUGCCGAUCCCAUCCGCAGAAGCAAAAGGCUGUGUCGCAUACUAGAAACACUUCGCACCCGGGAAACUCGGCUGGCUGUGAUGGAGGCCCAUGCAUGCGGGGACCGUCCACGUUGAUUGCAACUCUUUUCGCUCGCUGUCGACGCUUUUUGGGAACGACGUGAGAGCUGCUCUUUUGGUGCGGCCGGGAAAGGCAUGAAAACAACACAGAGAGAGGCAGUGCGAUGGCUCGUUGGACUUGCACACAAACUGUGCUGGUGUGUUAGCUGUUCUGGUGUGGCGCUGGUCUCACACAUGUCUGUCUUUUCUCCCGACGCGAUCCUCAGACGUCGCAGUUGAUGACAGGUCUAGGAUUCAUCUGAGUGGUGCCUCUGCUCUCGGUGAUGCGUGCGCGGCACUGUGUGUC
This 2304-nucleotide unclassified non-coding RNA is filed under the name Leishmania donovani. Its description in RNAcentral is "gene:unknown". The record is from RNAcentral. Lineage: Eukaryota; Euglenozoa; Kinetoplastea; Trypanosomatida; Trypanosomatidae.